This 699-nucleotide small RNA is filed under the name Rattus norvegicus (Norway rat). RNAcentral describes it as "uncharacterized LOC103692925". The record is from RNAcentral. Lineage: Eukaryota; Metazoa; Chordata; Mammalia; Rodentia; Muridae.
GCAAGGAUCCCAGAGUAAUCACUUUCCUUUAAAAAAAAGUGGUCAUCACAGUUUCCAGAGAGUUAUGUGUUCCGGGAAUUUGAAACUGGUACUUGAUGGACAGAACAUUAUAAAAGAGACAGACAGUGUUGGCAGCGAAUGGUGAACUUCACCAUGAAUUUAGUCUGCAGGCCGUGGGUGACAUGUGCCUCAGGAGAUCUAUGACUGUGGCCCAAUGCAAAAUCAUAAAUUUCAGAUAUCAUGAGAUCUUAAAGUAUAAAUACAUGUGUGGUUCUCAUAUGUAAAGCUGUAGGUGACAACGCCAUGCUGCAGCGUUUAAAGGUUGGACACAGGUGCAUGAGCACUGGGAAGUGCUGAAGGAUGGAUUUAUUUACAUAGGUUUCAGGACAUCAGGAAGGAUCCUCUCAUACAAGGACGAGGAAGUUGAAGUGGUCCGCGCCUUCUUAAUCAACCACCUACAUCAUGGAUCUGCUCCUUUAUACAUGAGGGCAGGUUCCUUACCACCAAAGCUAAAAUGUUUCCUGAAGAGAUGUGGCAAGGAAUAGUCAUUAUUGUGUGAAAAGGGCAGUGACAAAGUAGACCCCAGCAGUGACCGGACAAGAACUCCCACAAGAAGCAACAAGCAAGCUGAGAAUAGAGUUAACAGGCCACUACUGUACAAGACAUAAAUGGCGGUGUUAAAGCAACUUCAACAGGAGG